GCUUGCUUCUCUUGAGAGCGGCGGACGGGUGAGUAAUGCCUAGGAAUCUGCCUGGUAGUGGGGGAUAACGUUCGGAAACGGACGCUAAUACCGCAUACGUCCUACGGGAGAAAGCAGGGGACCUUCGGGCCUUGCGCUAUCAGAUGAGCCUAGGUCGGAUUAGCUAGUUGGUGGGGUAAUGGCUCACCAAGGCGACGAUCCGUAACUGGUCUGAGAGGAUGAUCAGUCACACUGGAACUGAGACACGGUCCAGACUCCUACGGGAGGCAGCAGUGGGGAAUAUUGGACAAUGGGCGAAAGCCUGAUCCAGCCAUGCCGCGUGUGUGAAGAAGGUCUUCGGAUUGUAAAGCACUUUAAGUUGGGAGGAAGGGUUGUAGAUUAAUACUCUGCAAUUUUGACGUUACCGACAGAAUAAGCACCGGCUAACUCUGUGCCAGCAGCCGCGGUAAUACAGAGGGUGCAAGCGUUAAUCGGAAUUACUGGGCGUAAAGCGCGCGUAGGUGGUUUGUUAAGUUGGAUGUGAAAUCCCCGGGCUCAACCUGGGAACUGCAUUCAAAACUGACUGACUAGAGUAUGGUAGAGGGUGGUGGAAUUUCCUGUGUAGCGGUGAAAUGCGUAGAUAUAGGAAGGAACACCAGUGGCGAAGGCGACCACCUGGACUAAUACUGACACUGA
RNAcentral lists this ribosomal RNA (675 nucleotides) under uncultured bacterium. RNAcentral describes it as "bacterial SSU rRNA". It matches the Rfam family "Bacterial small subunit ribosomal RNA", at positions 78 to 749 of the family's 1533-position model. The record is from RNAcentral.